GCAGGCGGACAGCUUGUCGCUCGCUCCAUCGAUGGAGCGAGAGGAAAGUCCGGGCAGCACAGAGCACUCCGCUUCUUAAUGGGAAGUGGCUCGUGAGGGUCAAUCAGUGUAGAAGAAAAUAACCGCCCCCUAUCGUUCUCCUUUAGGAGGACGUGCGACGGGUAAGGGUGAGAAGGUGAGGUAAGAGCUCACCAGCCGAGCGGUGACGUUUCGGGCUGUGCACAUCGGAGGCUGAAAGUUCAUGUAUACCGACACCAACAGGGCGGCUCGUCCGAGAGUUUCGGCUCGUGUCGGAGGGUAGAACGAUAGAGUGUGGCGGCAACGUCACUCCCAGAUAAAUGACAAGCGCCGAGAAAGCGAAAGCUCUAUCGGUACAGAACCCGGCUCAUCGGCUGCCUGCGCCC
Molecule: RNase P RNA, 404 nt
Filed under: Bacteroidales bacterium
Lineage: Bacteria; Pseudomonadati; Bacteroidota; Bacteroidia; Bacteroidales
Description: RNase P RNA component class A
Rfam family: Bacterial RNase P class A
About the family: Ribonuclease P (RNase P) is a ubiquitous endoribonuclease, found in archaea, bacteria and eukarya as well as chloroplasts and mitochondria. Its best characterised activity is the generation of mature 5'-ends of tRNAs by cleaving the 5'-leader elements of precursor-tRNAs. Cellular RNase Ps are ribonucleoproteins.
Source: RNAcentral